GCAGCCAGUGCCUAUAUAAGCGGCUUUUAGACGAUCAAACACCAGAAAGAAUCCGAUACAUUGAAGAAUAAUAUUUUACGUUAAAGAGUGAGAUCCAGUUCUAUUGAAGUAAUCAACUAUAAUAUAUCUUAUUGGCUGUUACGGUUCUGCUCCUAAUGGCCCUUGUUGUCGCCCUGCCUUCAGGUGGUAUUGUUCGUGAAUACACCGUAUCUGAUCCCAAUGGUCAGGAAUACAUGCAAGUGAAGUCAUUUUCCCGAGAAAUGUCCCCACAAGAGGCCGAGAGCCAUCUUCACGGCAUGAUGAGUUCCAUGGGAGACCCACAAGAAAACUUCAGGAAGUUCGUCAAAGAACUUGAUUUACAUUUCUAACCUGUAUAUCGGGAAUUAUGUGAUCCUUCCGAACUGUUUACCCACAGAUUUGUCCAUGUUGGAUCAUCACAACAUCCAGUGUGAAUUUAUUUAUUCAGUAAUAUAGUGUAUAGCAACUACGUGGUUAUGGGUUGUGUAUCAUAAGGGGGUGUUACUGCCAAAAUCGACUAUUGUAUCUUUUUGUUUAUUUUUCGAAUAAAGGGUGUCAGUGUGUA
Molecule: long non-coding RNA, 583 nt
Organism: Limulus polyphemus (Atlantic horseshoe crab)
Lineage: Eukaryota; Metazoa; Arthropoda; Merostomata; Xiphosura; Limulidae
Exons: 2
Source: RefSeq, a predicted model, not a curated record